Orcinus orca (killer whale) is the source of this 5181-nucleotide long non-coding RNA. RefSeq lists it as uncharacterized. The record is from RefSeq and is a predicted model, not a curated record. The transcript has 3 exons. NCBI's taxonomy places the organism in Eukaryota, Metazoa, Chordata, Mammalia, Artiodactyla, Delphinidae.
AAUAGAACAAAAUUCUUGUCCUCAGCUUGACAUACUAAACUACUGGCAGAGAUGUAUUCUCGGGACAGCUUUUUAAAGUCUGUCUGCAAACAGCACCAAGAUUAAACACGUCUCCGGAGCCUGAGUGGGGAUGGCGCGUCUUGACAGGAGCGGUCCUGCAGGCCAGGAGGAUCACAGCCCAGGCUGCACACACGUCAGGAGGUCUAGACAGUGGCCCUUCUAAUUCUGGAAAUGCAGGCGAUCAGCAAAGCCAGCAAAUGGGACGAUGGCAGAUCCAUCUAUUAUGGACACAACUGAGGAGUUUGGAUCUCUUAAUCGCAUACGCCUACCCUGCCCCUCCCUCCUUCCAUCUCCCCACUAGUAACCACUGGUUUACUCCCCACAUCGGUGCAGUUAUGAUUAUAUGACCUGUCUUCACUACCAGUGAUGCCUUCUAGAACCCUUUGUAAUUUGUUUCUUUUCUGUUGCAUCUUGGUCAUUCUCUCAAAUGGACGUUUUACAUCCCAGAUGUGUCUUUAGCCAUAUAUAGUUUUUUGUUUCUGUAAUAAGAGUCUUGUUUCCAUAAUAAUUUUGAUUUUCUCAGUUUUCUAAUCUCUACUCUGAGCCCCUGUAGGUCUCCUUGGAGUUUUACUCUAAGAAAGGUCAUUUUUUCAUUAACACCUUUGACUCCAUGGAGAACCAGUUGUUUAUACUUUUUUUUCGCUGUGCGGCAUCACUUUUUUCUGGUAUGUGUUCUCUACGAGACUUUUACUUUUCAUGUUCUAACUUUCCAUUUCUGGUUGGAGUCAAUCUGGAAAGGUCGUAUCUUAUUUGAUGACAAGUGUUCAGUGAAUCACGUAUUUGCAGGAGAGUGUUGGAGGUGGCAGAGGAUUAAGCUUGAGUAGCUGGAGGUCUGAACUGUGAGGUUGUUUCAGCUUUCUUCUCCCGAGCCCUCCAAGACCAGUGGGCAGCAUUUCCCACCUGCCCUUCUACACAGUCACCCGCUUCUUUCAAAGGCGCGAUCACUGUAAAGUUCCUCAUUCACUUCUAACUCCCCUCCCAUUUCUUCAAAACACACAGGGAGGUAGAAGUCUCCCAAAUGCCACCAAGCCAUACAAAUCUUGUCCAUCGGAGUUCUCUACCUGCUUUGGAGAAUUCAUCCCUCCAUCCACAGUGCUCCUGAUUUGUGGAGCUGGAUUACCUCCCGCAGGGUCCUUCUUUGUCCUGAAUCUGACUCAGUCAUUGGUACGUACAUCCUUCAAGAGUAUUUAGUGCUGCGGGGAAACGUUUGGGGGCAAAACAGCAAAUGAUUAAAAGGAUGCAAAAAAUCACUGAAUUAGAAAUGGACAGAAAUUAUCAAAAUAGUAAUGAUGGUUAUUAUUUCUGAAUAGCAGAACUAUGAAUGUCUGUCAUUUUUUAUAUUUUUAAAUUUCCCACAAAAGCUACAUAAUUAUUUGCAUAACCAGAAAAAUGUAAUGCAUUAAAAAAGGAGUGCAGCCGCUUGGCGCUCGCAAGUUCUACAUAUUUUUACCAAAUCCACAUGAAUAUUUUUAUCAGAUCCAGGCCUAGGUUCCUCUGUAGCUCUUGAGUGGACAUGUUCCACUUCCUCGGUCCCUGAUCUAUCAAAUGGGCUUGAGGCUGAAAACAGAUAAGCAUUGAUCCCUCCCACAAGCCAUGAAAGGGGAAUAGAAAAUGUCUUGAACUUGCUGAGGGGGAAAGAGCCUAUCACCAUUAUGAGAACCAUUUCUGACCAUCUUAGAUACACUGUUCAUCCCUAGCUUAUCCUCUGCUUUUGACUGAGUUACACCUCUGAAAUGAAUUUUCCUUGUUAAACAGAAGCACUGCAGAUGGAUGUAGAAAUCGUCUAGGGAACAGACCUCACAGCUGGUGGCGCCCGGACAGCCUCUUCUCAAGGCUUUGAGCCCAGAUCCCUCCUUGCUUGUCUCACCUUUCCCAGGAGAGCUGAGUGCAAAGGAGUGUGGCCCUCACUAACUCAGAAACACGAACAAGAUGCUGAGAGUGGGACGGCAGAUAGAGAAAGGGCCAGAGACAGAGGCUGAGAAACGACAGAAACACUUGUGACUAGGGUCCCUUCAAAAGUAAAGUUUCAUACAGUUUCUGUAUCAUAAGAAAACAUAAAUAUGGCAGCUGGCAGAAACUGGGCAAUUGGUGAACUAAAUUGAAUGUUGAAGGAUUUUAAAUGCCCUAAAAUGCCACUGUCUUGAUACAAACACACACAUGUACACUUGCAUACCAUUUACAGAAAAACAGGUUUUUUCUCAAUAUAAGGAAGACUUUAACACGUAGAGGCUCUGUAGACGAUGUGGAUUGGCUGAUGAUGGAGAAAGUCAAAUGAGACGACUUACAGACAACUUUGCCGCUCAGAGUUAAUUCUGUGCUGUGUUAAUUCUUCACAGUAAAUUCUGUCUUGACUCACCUGUGUGAUAAGAUCUCUUUACAAGUUAUAUUCAGUAAUUUUAACUCCAAUAAACCCAACGGCAAUCACAUAUUGCCCUUCAACAAGGUCAGCAAAUCACUGAGCAUGGCCAAAGGCAAAGAUUGUCUCUACAUCAUCUCUAGAGAUUUUUCAGAAGCCCUCACUGGAAACAAAGAAGAGUCUGAAAAAUGUUUAGAGGAUUGUGGAUGGCCAAGAUUCCCACUGUUGGAUCACCUCCUGGAUUUUUUGUGCAAAAUUUCAAGUUUUAAAAUGAGAACUACUGUUUAUGGAUAGAAAAAAACUUUCAACAGGCACCUCAUGUCAUUAGAUUAAUUUUCUAUGCACCUCGGGCAAUUCUAUUCGUGGCAAAGCUAUUCUUCUAGACCUGUCCCCAAGCAGGCCCUAAAAUUAAGAAAGCCUACAUCCCCCCAGACACAACCUCUGCAGGCUGGAAGGCAGAGCCCCUUACGUUUGCCCCAGGCACCUCUGACUCUGUGCCUGAACAAGGCAAGUGUGUGCUCUGAACAUUAACACAGCCAGAGAGAAAACAUCCCACAGGGCGAAUCAAUACCCAGCAAAGGAUAAUGGGAUUCCUGUUCAGGCAGCUGUGUCCUGCCCCCUCCCAUUAGCACCUGUCAGCAGAGCAGGCAGGGCGGGUCCACGGGCAACUCGCCUUACAGCUCAGCCCUCGGGAUGGUCAUUAGCACCAGCCGCAGAGGCACCCCACGUGGCCAAAUAGUGUCCUUUUCUCCUUAAAUGCAGACAAACAAUGCCUUCUCUUCUAACAGCUGGCACAGACCUUGUCAAUCUUUCUUGUUUCACUUCUGGUUUUCCCUUUGUGCAGUGUGUAAGGAGAGACUGCGGGAAGGUAGAAAUUAGGUUAUUCAUGUUAAUUUCAGGACAUGUUCCACUCAGGGGCUGAGAACCCAUCUCAGCUGGCAUGAGUCACUUAGAGGUAAUCACGGGAUGAAAAUAAUGCUCCACUGAUUUUGUCAGCUGGUAAACGAUCAGUAUCUACCCUUUGGAGCUUUUUUAUAACCAUUUGCUGAAAAGAGGACUGAACAAUCCCACGUGGCUAAAAAUCUCUCUGUCCCUCUCCCCUCUCUUUCUGCCCCCCCUUUCUUUUAUUCCUUCCUCCUUUCCUUCCUUCCUCCCUCCCUUCUUUCCUUUUUUCCUUCCUUCCUUCCUCUCUCUCCCCUUCUUCCUCAUCCUCCUUUUAUUCCAAAGUAGGAAUGGAUAGCCAUUGAAGGGAACACUUCUGAUCGCAGACAGAGUUAAGUGUGUUCUGUGACCUAGAACUAGAGGCCAGAGCCGACCAGGUACUGCUCAUUUGCCCUUACAGGUGAAGCUGCUUUAGAAAUGCCUGUAUGGUAAAGGGCCAGAAAUUUUAACAUCUUGCAGAAAUGCAUAAUGAACAGAUUUUUACCCAGACAUUUUAUAUUCUACCCAGGAGAAUUGAGAAGGUACUAUUCGGCAGACUCCAUUCAAUAUUUUCAUUUUUGUCUUUUCUGACAGACUGGAUUUUCCUCUUAGCAAUACGUGUACAUGGACUUACAAUUCUGCCACAUUCUCUCUUAAGACAAUUCAAGUCGUUUAGUAAUCGGGAGGAAAAAAGCAAAAUUUCAGAAUGUAUUACAUAAUAAUUAUUUAAUCAUUCUCUCCCUCAUAUAUUCAAUCAUUCACAAAUAUUUGUUGGGCACCUACUAAAUGCCAGGUGCUUGCACACAAAUGAUCUCACUGUUAGUUGGGGGAAUCUACUUGGGGAAGGAAAGGGAAGGUAGGUAUUUUCACCAAAUCUGGUCAUUUUAAAAGAACUCUGGAAACCAGAGACCAAAAAUUCUCAAAUCUUCUACUGACAAUGUAGAUUAGCUCCAGAACCAAUACCUCUUCACAAUGAAAGGUUCUGCCUCUGGAGCAUAGAGAAAAAUUUUAUUUCUCUCUCAUCAGAAAAGUAAUGCACAUUAAUUCCAGAAAGUAUAAAUAAGAAAAAGUAACAAAAAAUUAAGUACCUACGAUCACCAUCCAGAACGUUUCGUAAUUAUCUUUCACGUGUGUGUAUAUGUGUGUUUUCUGUUAUACCCUGAGUCAUCUGAGAUUGCUGAUAUCAAACCAUUUGACAUAGAAAAUGGCAAUGUGAUAUGGCUCAACCUAAUGCUGUAGAUAGAUUCAAGGAAAUGGGAUCAUAGCAUUCAUGCUAUUUAUAUCCUGAUUUUUAAACUUGAAUUGUGUAGCAUACUCUCCUUUUUCUGACAUUAAACAUGUUAAUAGUUUGAAAGUAAACAAGCUAAAUAAUUUCCAAUGGCUCACCAUUUUCCAUUUUAUGGAUAUAAGAUAAAUGGUCACGCAUAGCAGACUAUUAAAAGGUUUUUCUGCGUUUUAAUAAUGUUACGAAAAGCAUCCCUAUCUCAAGUUUCUUCCAAUUAUGUCGUUGAUACUUUGAAGUUAACUGUGAAAGAGGCACUCUCCAACCUCCAGCAGAAUAACAAACACAAGCACUUAGAAUUUUGUAGAUUAAGCUCAAUUUUUGAAUAAGGCUGAUAAAUCAAGGACUGUUAGUAUGUACCCUUGACCCUGAUCUCCCACAAAAUUAGUUUGUGUAGUCAACAGCUUGUCCUGUCCAAAUAUUUACCUGCCACCAUCACUAAGAUACACGCCGCCAUCUAUCUGUUGAAACAGUCUUCCUGAUUUAAUAAUGUCCUCCACUCUGGGAUACCUACACUGCUACAGACUCACCAGGCUGUGUUCUCUGACCCCCACCAACACCA